Long non-coding RNA from Homo sapiens (human), 1487 nucleotides. Ensembl annotates it as survival associated mitochondrial melanoma specific oncogenic non-coding RNA. Its record names the gene SAMMSON. The record is from Ensembl. NCBI's taxonomy places the organism in Eukaryota, Metazoa, Chordata, Mammalia, Primates, Hominidae.
GGGUAGAGGAAGGCGGGUCCCUGGCUCGGCUCUACCCCCAUGGAUCUAGGUGGGCUCAAUGUCAUCACAAGGGUGCUUAAGAGGGAAAGAGGAAGCCAUGAGGGUCAGAGUCAAAGGAAGACUUGAAGAUACUACACUGCGGACUUUAAAGAUGAAGGAAGGGGCGAAAACCAAGAAUGUGGGAAGCCUCUAGAAGCUAGAGAAGGCAAGGAAACAAAUUUUCCACUAGAGCCUCCAGAAGGAACACAGCCCUGCUGACCCACUGUAAUGUCUGACCUCUAGAUGUGUAAGGGUAGUAAGACUGAAAGUCUCAGAAAGGCACUGUUAAAUUCUUAUUCCUCAACUAUGCAACUCAAAACUGGGGUCCUCAGCAGUGAGCGAGGGGUGAGAGAAGACACUGUAUAAACAUGGCACAUCCUCCUGGAAAGUCAACUUUACUCAAAGGUUCUUACACACAGUGACAGCUAGCAGAGUCUAAAAUGCUGACAUUAUGACUUAGAGAUGUGAUAAAGAGAAACAUCUAUUGCAUUUUCUACAACAGCAGCAACUACAAAAAGAGACAAUAUCUAUUCAGCACCUACUGUGUUCCAGGCACACUAUAUGAAUUACUUUGUUUAAUUUGCAAGCAAUUUUGUGAGUGGCUCGUGUGGAAUGACUUAUCCUGGAAUUUAGAGUUGAAGAUAAUCCUGAUGCUUCAAAGAGAAGAGUUGGAACACAGUCCUUUUUUCUAAACAGAGGAAUUGUUGAAUAUGCGACUGAACCUCUGACUUAACUAAUUAGUUAAUUUGGAGCAGAGUUUGAACACAGUCCUUUUUCUAAACAGAGGAAUUGUUGAAUAUGCAACUGGUCCUCUGACUUAACUAAUUAUUUAAUUUGGAAGUUAUAGGUUUUUUAUUACUUGAGGAGCAGCUUUCUCUGAACAAAUACAGUGUCCCCUGGGGUGUCCAAAUUGUGACAGAAAAGUAGCGCCAGCUUGAAACUAGCUAGUCAUCACAUAGUGGCAUCAUGUGAAUGAAGAAUCCCCCAAAUCUGUGACCCUCUUCUAUCCUUAUGAACUAAUUCAAUAAAUAAAUGAGCACUUUCUCAGUUCCCAAACUGAGAGCAGUUUAAAAAAAUAAUGAGAGCACAGAUAUCUAUUUAGAGAGAUGGCGAGAUAGAGGAGAGAGCAAGUUGCACACCACGAAACAAAGGGAAAGAUAAGAAGAGAGAGUGUGUCACUACUUCCCCGUGGCAGAAUCACAAUCUUUUUUGGAUGUCAUGUUGAAAAGAUUCCCAAUUCGUAGUUCUGUGAGCUAAAGCAGAUGGAUGCUCCAUGUUGGUACAAAUUCCUAUUUGAAGCAGUGUGGUUGCAAAGAUGGGGUUUGGGUCAUUUGAUUUUCUCCGAAAAACAAUCUUGUGUAACUGUUAAAAGAAUUUAUAAUACCCAAUGCAAUGUAUCAUCCGUGAUGCUUCUUCAAAAAUGUUAAAUAAAUGCUGAAACCAGUGUU